UACGGAGGAUCCGAGCGUUAUCCCGGAUUUAUUCGGGUUUAAAGGGUGCGGCAGGUUGUUUGAUAAGUCAGUGGUGAAAGUCUGUCGCUUAACGGUAGGAUUGCCAUUGAUACUGUUAGACUAGAAUAUGGAUGAGGUAGGCGGAAUGUGUAGUGUAGCGGUGAAAUGCAUAGAUAUUACACAGAACACCGAUUGCGAAGGCAGCUUACUAAUCCAUCAUUGACGCUGAGGCACGAAAGCGUGGGGAUCAAACAGGA
Molecule: ribosomal RNA, 257 nt
Filed under: uncultured prokaryote
Description: partial 16S ribosomal RNA
Rfam family: Bacterial small subunit ribosomal RNA
Source: RNAcentral